AACACAUGCAAGUCGAGGGGAAACGAUAUUGGAAGCUUGCUUCCGAUAGGCGUCGACCGGCGCACGGUCUGAGUAACGCGUAUCCAACCUGCCCACCACUUGGGGAUAACCUUGCGAAAGUAAGACUAAUACCCAAUGACGUCUCUAGAGGACAUCUGAAAGAGAUUAAAGAUUUAUCGGUGAUGGAUGGGGAUGCGUCUGAUUAGCUUGUUGGCGGGGUAACGGCCCACCAAGGCAACGAUCAGUAGGGGUUCUGAGAGGAAGGUCCCCCACAUUGGAACUGAGACACGGUCCAAACUCCUACGGGAGGCAGCAGUGAGGAAUAUUGGUCAAUGGGCGAGAGCCUGAACCAGCCAAGUAGCGUGCAGGAUGACGGCCCUAUGGGUUGUAAACUGCUUUUAUAAGGGAAUAAAGUGAGUCUCGUGAGACUUUUUGCAUGUACCUUAUGAAUAAGGACCGGCUAAUUCCGUGCCAGCAGCCGCGGUAAUACGGAAGGUCCGGGCGUUAUCCGGAUUUAUUGGGUUUAAAGGGAGCGUAGGCCGGAGAUUAAGCGUGUUGUGAAAUGUAGACGCUCAACGUCUGCACUGCAGCGCGAACUGGUUUCCUAGAGUACGCACAAAGUGGGCGGAAUUCGUGGUGUAGCGGUGAAAUGCUUAGAUAUCACGAAGAACUCCGAUUGCGAAGGCAGCUCACUGGAGCGCAACUGACGCUGAAGCUCGAAAGUGCGGGUAUCGAACAGGAUUAGAUACCCUGGUAGUCCG
RNAcentral lists this ribosomal RNA (761 nucleotides) under uncultured bacterium. Its description in RNAcentral is "bacterial SSU rRNA". It matches the Rfam family "Bacterial small subunit ribosomal RNA", at positions 50 to 797 of the family's 1533-position model. The record is from RNAcentral.